UUCGGGUCCCGGAACAAGCGAUCACACACGGUACAAACUGCCAGAGGACUCAUCGACUGUCCGGUUCCUCCAUGUUCAGACGGAUCCUGCUUCUCUGUCUGCUCACACUCAGACAUGACCAAUAGGAAACCUCUCAGCGGCGGUUCAAAGACCCUGCAGGACCCUGUGUAGCAGCGUGGGACCCUGACUGACCCCCUCUACUGGCGGGAAGGACAAACACGUCUUCUUCAGACCUGACCUCUGCAGGAGGACGACCAGACUUGUUGCCUUUCACACGUGCACAAGGCAGCGGGAGAUUCUUCACUCAGACGUGUUCACAGAAAUCUCAGAGUGUUCAGGUGAUGCAGCAAAGUAAUUCUGCUGCUCCUGACCUCUGACCCUCCUAACAGUCAUGACACCACUCUUUAUAAAGGUGGAUUGAAUGAAGCAUGGACCACUAUCACAUGUUCACACACACAAUAAUGAAAAAUUACACACAUCAGAGGAAUAAAAUGUGUUUAUUGGUGAAAA
Hippoglossus stenolepis (Pacific halibut) is the source of this 510-nucleotide long non-coding RNA. RefSeq lists it as uncharacterized. The record is from RefSeq and is a predicted model, not a curated record. The transcript has 3 exons. Lineage: Eukaryota; Metazoa; Chordata; Actinopteri; Pleuronectiformes; Pleuronectidae.